Molecule: non-coding RNA, 83 nt
Organism: Myotis brandtii (Brandt's bat)
Lineage: Eukaryota; Metazoa; Chordata; Mammalia; Chiroptera; Vespertilionidae
Source: Rfam
AGGCCUGCAUAGAGAGAGGCAGGGCCUGAUCCGCAGCCUCUGUUGCAGCUGUUGAUCAGCCCUUGCCUCUCUCUCUCCUGGCU